AUGUUAAGUGUGAAACGGCU
Molecule: non-coding RNA, 20 nt
Filed under: Mus musculus (house mouse)
Lineage: Eukaryota; Metazoa; Chordata; Mammalia; Rodentia; Muridae
Source: RNAcentral